AGGUUAACCGUAUAGGGGAGCCGUAGGGAAACCGAGUCUUAACUGGGCGAAUGAGUUGCAGGGUAUAGACCCGAAACCCGGUGAUCUAUCCAUGGGCAGGUUGAAGGUUGGGUAACACUAACUGGAGGACCGAACCGACUAAUGUUGAAAAAUUAGCGGAUGACUUGUGGAUAGGGGUGAAAGGCCAAUCAAACCGGGAGAUAGCUGGUUCUCCCCGAAAGCUAUUUAGGUAGCGCCUCGUGAACUCAUCUUCGGGGGUAGAGCACUGUUUCGACUAGGGGGUCAUCCCGACUUACCAACUCGAUGCAAACUGCGAAUACCGAAGAAUGUUAUCACGGGAGACACACGGCGGGUGCUAACGUCCGUCGUGAAGAGGGAAACAACCCAGACCGCCAGCUAAGGUCCCAAAGUCAUGGUUAAGUGGGAAACGAAGUGGGAAGGCUCAGACAGCCAGGAUGUUGGCUUAGAAGCAGCCAUCAUUUAAAGAAAGCGUAAUAGCUCACUGGUCGAGUCGGCCCGCGCGGAAGAUGUAACGGGGCUAAACCAUGCACCGAAGCUGCGGCAGCGACACGUAGUGUUGUUGGGUAGGGGAGCGUUCUGUAAGCCUGCGAAGGUGUACUGUGAGGUAUGCUGGAGGUAUCAGAAGUGCGAAUGCUGACAUAAGUAACGAUAAUGCGGGUGAAAAACCCGCACGCCGGAAGACCAAGGGUUCCUGUCCAACGUUAAUCGGGGCAGGGUGAGUCGACCCCUAAGGCGAGGCUGAAAAGCGUAGUCGAUGGGAAACGGGUUAAUAUUCCCGUACUGGUGGUAACUGCGAUGGGGGAACGGAGAAGGCUAGGUUGUCCGGGCGACGGUCGUCCCGGUUCAAGCAGGUAGGCAGAGUGAUUAGGCAAAUCCGGUCACUUAAUGCUGAGAUGUGAUGACGAACCACCAAGGUGGUGAAGCAAUUGAUGCCCCGCUUCCAGGAAAAGCCUCUAAGCUUCAGGUUACCAACAAUCGUACCCCAAACCGACACAGGUGGUCAGGUAGAGAAUACUCAGGCGCUUGAGAGAACUCGGGUGAAGGAACUAGGCAAAAUGGUGCCGUAACUUCGGGAGAAGGCACGCUGGCGGUAGGUAAAGUCCCUCGCGGACGGCGCUGAAGCCAGUCGAAGAUACCAGCUGGCUGCAACUGUUUAUUAAAAACACAGCACUGUGCAAACACGAAAGUGGACGUAUACGGUGUGACGCCUGCCCGGUGCUGGAAGGUUAAUUGAUGGGGUCAGCCGUAAGGCGAAGCUCCUGAUCGAAGCCCCAGUAAACGGCGGCCGUAACUAUAACGGUCCUAAGGUAGCGAAAUUCCUUGUCGGGUAAGUUCCGACCUGCACGAAUGGCGUAAUGAUGGCCAGGCUGUCUCCACCCGAGACUCAGUGAAAUUGAACUCGCUGUGAAGAUGCAGUGUACCCGCGGCAAGACGGAAAGACCCCGUGAACCUUUACUAUAGCUUGACACUGAACAUUGAGCCUUGAUGUGUAGGAUAGGUGGGAGGCUUUGAAGUGUGGACGCCAGUCUGCAUGGAGCCAACCUUGAAAUACCACCCUUUAACGUUUGAUGUUCUAACCUAGGCCCAUAAACUGGGUCGGGGACCGUGUCUGGUGGGUAGUUUGACUGGGGCGGUCUCCUCCUAAAGAGUAACGGAGGAGCACGAAGGUUGGCUAAGCAUGGUCGGACAUCAUGCGGUUAGUGCAAAGGCAUAAGCCAGCUUGACUGCGAGAGUGACGGCUCGAGCAGGUACGAAAGUAGGUCUUAGUGAUCCGGUGGUUCUGAAUGGAAGGGCCAUCGCUCAACGGAUAAAAGGUACUCCGGGGAUAACAGGCUGAUACCGCCCAAGAGUUCAUAUCGACGGCGGUGUUUGGCACCUCGAUGUCGGCUCAUCACAUCCUGGGGCUGAAGUAGGUCCCAAGGGUAUGGCUGUUCGCCAUUUAAAGUGGUACGCGAGCUGGGUUUAGAACGUCGUGAGACAGUUCGGUCCCUAUCUGCCGUGGGCGUUGGAAGAUUGAGAGGGGUUGCUCCUAGUACGAGAGGACCGGAGUGAACGCACCACUGGUGUUCGGGUUGUCAUGCCAAUGGCAUUGCCCGGUAGCUAAGUGCGGAAGAGAUAACCGCUGAAAGCAUCUAAGCGGGAAACUUGCCUCGAGAUGAGUCUUCCCUGUCACUUUAAGUGACCUAAAGGAACGUUUAAGACUAAGACGUUGAUAGGCUGGGUGUGUAAGCGUAGCGAUACGUUGAGCUAACCAGUACUAAUGAACCGUGAGGCUUAACCUG
RNAcentral lists this ribosomal RNA (2303 nucleotides) under Proteus mirabilis. RNAcentral's name for it is "partial 23S ribosomal RNA". It matches the Rfam family "Bacterial large subunit ribosomal RNA", at positions 643 to 2925 of the family's 2925-position model. Lineage: Bacteria; Pseudomonadati; Pseudomonadota; Gammaproteobacteria; Enterobacterales; Morganellaceae. The record is from RNAcentral.